This is a long non-coding RNA of Osmerus eperlanus (European smelt), 785 nucleotides long. RefSeq lists it as uncharacterized. The transcript has 4 exons. Lineage: Eukaryota; Metazoa; Chordata; Actinopteri; Osmeriformes; Osmeridae. The record is from RefSeq and is a predicted model, not a curated record.
AGCUCUUAUUUUAUGAGGCAACACCUUCUUUCCAGGUAUAGACUAUUAAUCAAGGUGACUUCCUAGUACGAAACACAGGUAAGAAAACCAGGACAGUGAAACAACAGCCCCGUUCACUGAAGAAUGUUCCAACAGGACCGAUACGGCAACAUUAUGCUGCUAUUCAUAUUGGCGGCAUGUUUCACAUUGUCAGCGGGACAAACGGGAUACCAAAUACUCACACCAACCUCGCCAGCACCAGCUUCACCGGAAAGAGCAUUAGUGAUUGCGGUGACAACUUGGCAGUCUCAUCAAGAACUGAAUGAAACUACGGUUUCUGCAUUAGUGCAACAGCUCCAGGCACAACUACAGAAGUUACAACCACAUCUGGAUUUUCAGAUGACACUGAGGAAGAUACAGAAAGUGUGACAGUGUGUCUGAAUAAUUCAGGACACAACUUUUCACAAUUCAAUUUCUCAAUUCUACUACCUAUUACUUAUAGUUGAAUUAUAUUGCAAGUUUAUAGACUAUCACAACGUGCCACACAUUGAGAUAAUACAUUGAUGGUGGUAUUCUUUUCUUUAUGUUUUACUUGAGAGUUUCUAUGUUAAAAAGGGUAUUGUAGUCUGUGUCUAUGACUGGGUAACAAGUAUAUCAAACUAUUCUGUAUACACAUUUGUAACUAAAUCCCAUGGCCUGGUUCUGGGCUUUGUUGCACUUUAUUUCCCUUCUGCUGUAUGGCUUACUUCUGGAACCACUCUUUGACCUUUUUUUCCAAUAAAUAGAAGUUAUAACAUUAAACAGUU